CCUGCGGUGGUGAAAUGGUUGCCAUGAUGGACUUCAGAUCCUUCUGUCCUAGGUUUAAAUCCUGCUGUAGAC
RNAcentral lists this transfer RNA (72 nucleotides) under Fasciola hepatica (liver fluke). RNAcentral describes it as "tRNA-Sec". The record is from RNAcentral. Lineage: Eukaryota; Metazoa; Platyhelminthes; Trematoda; Plagiorchiida; Fasciolidae.